ACCUGCUCAAUGAUAAUAUUCAAUAGCCGCAAAAUUUAUGUGCUAAGGUAGCAUAAUCAUUUGUUUUUUAAUUAAAAACUAGAAUGAAAGGUUAUACAUUCAAAUUUCUUUAUUAAUUUUUAAUAAAUAAUUUAUAUUAAAUAUAAAAAUAUAUUUAUAAAAAAAAAAGACGACAAGACCCUAUUAAAUUUUACUUAUAGUUUAGCUGGGGAAGCUUUCCAAUUAAAAUUUUUUAAAUUAAAUAAAUAAAAAUCUAAUAAAAUUAAAAUUUUAAUAAAUUACUAUAGGGAUAACAGCAUUAUAUUUUUUUAAAGUUCAUAUUAAAAAAAAUGAUUGUGACCUCGAUGUUGAAUUAUAUUUUCUAUAUUAAUGCAAUAAUUAUAAAAGU
RNAcentral lists this ribosomal RNA (388 nucleotides) under Anelosimus baeza. RNAcentral describes it as "partial 16S ribosomal RNA". Lineage: Eukaryota; Metazoa; Arthropoda; Arachnida; Araneae; Theridiidae. The record is from RNAcentral.